RNAcentral lists this ribosomal RNA (1287 nucleotides) under metagenome. RNAcentral describes it as "bacterial SSU rRNA". It matches the Rfam family "Bacterial small subunit ribosomal RNA", at positions 242 to 1520 of the family's 1533-position model. The record is from RNAcentral.
UAGCUAGUUGGUGAGGUAAAGGCUUACCAAGGCGACGAUCUGUAGCGGGUCUGAGAGGAUGAUCCGCCACACUGGAACUGAGACACGGUCCAGACUCCUACGGGAGGCAGCAGUGGGGAAUUUUGGACAAUGGGGGCAACCCUGAUCCAGCCAUGCCGCGUGAGUGAAGAAGGCCUUCGGGUUGUAAAGCUCUUUCGGCCGGGAAGAAAUCGCAUGGGCCAAUACCCUGUGUGGAUGACGGUACCGGAAUAAGAAGCACCGGCUAACUACGUGCCAGCAGCCGCGGUAAUACGUAGGGUGCGAGCGUUAAUCGGAAUUACUGGGCGUAAAGCGUGCGCAGGCGGUUUUGUAAGACAGGCGUGAAAUCCCCGGGCUUAACCUGGGAACUGCGUUUGUGACUGCAAGGCUAGAGUACGGCAGAGGGGGGUGGAAUUCCACGUGUAGCAGUGAAAUGCGUAGAGAUGUGGAGGAACACCAAUGGCGAAGGCAGCCCCCUGGGUCGAUACUGACGCUCAUGCACGAAAGCGUGGGUAGCAAACAGGAUUAGAUACCCUGGUAGUCCACGCCCUAAACUAUGUCAACUAGGUGUUGGGUGGGUAAAACCAUUUAGUACCGUAGCUAACGCGUGAAGUUGACCGCCUGGGGAGUACGGCCGCAAGGUUAAAACUCAAAGGAAUUGACGGGGACCCGCACAAGCGGUGGAUGAUGUGGAUUAAUUCGAUGCAACGCGAAAAACCUUACCUACCCUUGACAUGCCAGGAACUUGCCAGAGAUGGCUUGGUGCCCGAAAGGGAGCCUGGACACAGGUGCUGCAUGGCUGUCGUCAGCUCGUGUCGUGAGAUGUUGGGUUAAGUCCCGCAACGAGCGCAACCCUUGUCGUUAAUUGCCAUCAUUUAGUUGGGCACUUUAACGAGACUGCCGGUGACAAACCGGAGGAAGGUGGGGAUGACGUCAAGUCCUCAUGGCCCUUAUGGGUAGGGCUUCACACGUCAUACAAUGGUCGGUACAAAGGGUUGCCAAGCCGCGAGGCGGAGCCAAUCCCAGAAAGCCGAUCGUAGUCCGGAUUGCAGGCUGCAACUCGCCUGCAUGAAGUCGGAAUCGCUAGUAAUCGUGGAUCAGCAUGUCACGGUGAAUACGUUCCCGGGUCUUGUACACACCGCCCGUCACACCAUGGGAGCGGGUUCCGCCAGAAGUAGGUAGCCUAACCGCAAGGGGGGCGCUUACCACGGCGGGGUUCGUGACUGUCGUGAAGUCGAAACAAGGUAGCCGUAGGGGAACCUGCGGCUG